RNAcentral lists this ribosomal RNA (497 nucleotides) under uncultured bacterium. RNAcentral describes it as "partial 16S ribosomal RNA". It matches the Rfam family "Bacterial small subunit ribosomal RNA", at positions 28 to 507 of the family's 1533-position model. The record is from RNAcentral.
GACGAACGCUGGCGGCGUGCCUAAUACAUGCAAGUUGAGCGAUGAAGAUUGGUGCUUGCACCAAUUUGAAGAGCAGCGAACGGGUGAGUAACGCGUGGGGAAUCUGCCUUUGAGCGGGGGACAACAUUUGGAAACGAAUGCUAAUACCGCAUAACAACUUUAAACAUAAGUUUUAAGUUUGAAAGAUGCAAUUGCAUCACUCAAAGAUGAUCCCGCGUUGUAUUAGCUAGUUGGUGAGGUAAAGGCUCACCAAGGCGAUGAUACAUAGCCGACCUGAGAGGGUGAUCGGCCACAUUGGGAAUGAGACACGGCCCAAACUCCUACGGGAGGCAGCAGUAGGGAAUCUUCGGCAAUGGACGAAAGGCUGACCGAGCAAAGCCGCGGGAGUGAAGAAGGUUUUCGGAUCGUAAAACUCUGUUGGUAGAGAAGAACGUUGGUGAGAGUGGAAAGCUCAUCAAGUGACGGUAACUACACAGAAAGGGACGGCUAACUACGUG